Molecule: unclassified non-coding RNA, 743 nt
Filed under: Hevea brasiliensis (rubber tree)
Lineage: Eukaryota; Viridiplantae; Streptophyta; Magnoliopsida; Malpighiales; Euphorbiaceae
Rfam family: small nucleolar RNA snoR117 (bases 699-743)
Source: RNAcentral
CCAAAAUCUAGCUCAUCUUUUUUCUCUUCGGCCGCCUCUUAUUUCGUUAAGAUCAACUCUCUUUCUUCUGUUACACUAUCUAUAAGUUUCGCUUGGCGGAGCUUUUGGUUCGUGAAAUCAUCUUCUUUUCAUUUUCGCUACGAUUUUGUUUUUGAUUUUGAAUAGCGUUUCCAAAAUGGAGUUUGUAAGGCAACAAAAUAGAGUCUCUGGAUUGCUUUGAUUUUUAAUAGCGUUUUCAGUGCUGUACGUUGCCAAUACUGAUUUGGUGCUGAGAUUCUGGCAUUUUCCUCAAUUUUCUCCUUGAGGCUUAUGCAUUCAGAUGUACCCACAUACCCAUUUACAUUUGCUUUUGGAAUUGUAAGAAUUUUUUACAAAAAUUUCAGCUUUUAUGGCUCCUUAUUUCUGUAGAUCUUGUAUGCUUUAUAAUCUAGUUCAAUCCCCAGAAAUUGUUUGAAUUGGUGAAUUAUCUGAGUCUAAAAUCUUAGCUUUUGGGGAAAUAUCAGGGUUUAUGGCUGGCUCUGUGUUCUCUGUUGUUUAAUUGCUACCAAUGGCCUCUUUUCUUUUGUAUCAUUUUCUCUGUUUUCAGUUUGUAGAUCAGUUACCAAAUCUAUCUCCCCUUAGCCUCUCCUUUGUUUGAUAUUGGCCAAAAUAUGAGAAAAGAUGGAGUUGAGAAUGGUUGAUUUUGUGAAGUAUGACUGGGCCUGUGAUGCAUAGAAAAUUGUCCGUACCAUCUGAUGAUAUCU